This 328-nucleotide ribosomal RNA is filed under the name Bacillus sp. E5HC-33. RNAcentral's name for it is "bacterial SSU rRNA". It matches the Rfam family "Bacterial small subunit ribosomal RNA", at positions 80 to 398 of the family's 1533-position model. Lineage: Bacteria; Bacillati; Bacillota; Bacilli; Caryophanales; Bacillaceae. The record is from RNAcentral.
UGCUCCUUCGAAUUAGCGGCGAGGGGUGAGUAACACGUGGGCAACCUACCUUAUAGUUUGGGAUAACUCCGGGAACCCGGGGCUAAUCCCGAAUAAUUUAUUACCCUCCAUGGUAAAAUAUUAAAAAACGGUUCCGGCUGUCGCUAUAAGAUGGGCCCGCGGCGCAUUAGCUAGUUGGUGAGGUAACGGCUCACCAAGGCAACGAUGCGUAGCCGACCUGAGAGGGUGAUCGGCCCACACUGGGACUGAGACACGGCCCAGACUCCUACGGGAGGCAGCAGUAGGGAAUCUUCCACAAUGGGCGAAAGCCUGAUGGAGCAACGGCCGC